Long non-coding RNA from Erinaceus europaeus (western European hedgehog), 301 nucleotides. RefSeq lists it as uncharacterized. The transcript is spliced from 2 exons. Lineage: Eukaryota; Metazoa; Chordata; Mammalia; Eulipotyphla; Erinaceidae. The record is from RefSeq and is a predicted model, not a curated record.
GGGUGUGGAUCCACCUGCCAACACCCAUGUCCAGUGGAGAAGCAAUGGCAGAAGCCAGAAGUUCCACCUUCUGCUCCCCAUAAAGAAUUCUGGUCCAGGCUCCCAGAGGGGAUUCUGUUGAUUUAGUCCUUUGUGGAAGAACUGAACUCACCUGAAAUCUAUCUGCUGAAGAAACAGCACCUGCAUAGACCAGCCUGGGUAUGGGAUGAGGUGAGGAAGACCCCCACCUGGAAACAUUUCAGGAGGAAACGUUCACUUUGAGGGGACCUCUGAGGAAAUAAAUGUGUGAUGGUAAAUGUCA